Molecule: ribosomal RNA, 496 nt
Filed under: uncultured bacterium
Lineage: Bacteria
Description: partial 16S ribosomal RNA
Rfam family: Bacterial small subunit ribosomal RNA
Source: RNAcentral
GAUGAACGCUGGCGGCGUGCCUAAUACAUGCAAGUCGAGCGAACAGACGAGGAGCUUGCUCCUCUGACGUUAGCGGCGGACGGGUGAGUAACACGUGGAUAACCUACCUAUAAGACUGGGAUAACUUCGGGAAACCGGAGCUAAUAUCGGAUAAUAUAUUGAACCGCAUGGUUCAAUAGUGAAAGACGGUUUUGCUGUCACUUAUAGAUGGAUCCGCGCCGCAUUAGCUAGUUGGUAAGGUAACGGCUUACCAAGGCAACGAUGCGUAGCCGACCUGAGAGGGUGAUCGGCCACACUGGAACUGAGACACGGUCCAGACUCCUACGGGAGGCAGCAGUAGGGAAUCUUCCGCAAUGGGCGAAAGCCUGACGGAGCAACGCCGCGUGAGUGAUGAAGGUCUGCGGAUCGUAAAACUCUGUUAUUAGGGAAGAACAAAUGUGUAAGUAACUAUGCACGUCUUGACGGUACCUAAUCAGAAAGCCACGGCUAACUACGU